GACAGAGGGUGCAAACGUUGCUCGGAAUUACUGGGCGUAAAGCGCAUGUAGGCGGAUGGGCAAGUCAGUUGUGAAAUCCCUGGGCUCAACCCAGGAACUGCAUCUGAAACUGCUCGUCUCGAGUGAUGGAGAGGGUAGCGGAAUUCUCGGUGUAGAGGUGAAAUUCGUAGAUAUCGAGAGGAACACCGGUGGCGAAGGCGGCUACCUGGACAUCUACUGACGCUGAGAUGCGAAAGCGUGGGGAGCAAACAGG
RNAcentral lists this ribosomal RNA (253 nucleotides) under uncultured bacterium. Its description in RNAcentral is "partial 16S ribosomal RNA". It matches the Rfam family "Bacterial small subunit ribosomal RNA", at positions 524 to 776 of the family's 1533-position model. The record is from RNAcentral.